This 4693-nucleotide long non-coding RNA is filed under the name Brassica napus (rape). RNAcentral's name for it is "long non-coding RNA (BNAP_LNC004750)". Lineage: Eukaryota; Viridiplantae; Streptophyta; Magnoliopsida; Brassicales; Brassicaceae. The record is from RNAcentral.
GGAUAUCCCGUCGAGCUCGUCGAUGAUGACUUUUAACGAGAGCUUGAAGAGGAUCGCUGGAUCCGUUGUGUUGGAAGCAGGAAGCUUCGAGAUGCUGUUGAAGCAAGACUCAGGGUAACGAGUCACGCUGCAGAUUGUUUUAAGUGAGGUGGAUGGUGUUAACUCGGGGGGUUGACUCAGUGCUGGCUCGGAGGAGUUCUUGUUGUGAACCACGGCGGCGACUACGGCGGCGAUUAUUACGGCGAGGAGGAUUACGCCGGAAAUGGAUAGUAGGAUUAGACGUGUUCUUGUCUUUUUCUUUAAUGCUAUAUCUUGAGCUUCGUCUACUUUUCCAUAUCCUUUGAAGGAUUGCACCGAAUCCAUAAUGCUAAAAAUGGGUUAAAGCAAAGCUCCUUUUAGUUUGGUUUCUGAGUUCUUACUAAAGACACUUUUGGGGUUUGUGUUAUGUUCUGUUGUUGUUAUGUGUUGUUUAUGUGUUGUUGUCGUUUUAUAUAAAGUGUGGAGGCAAAGAAAUGUAAUGUGAAUCUACGAACGUGACUCGCUAGUUCCAUGGGGCUUUCUUGGUGUGUGCAAGUGCGCUAGUGUGUGAUAGUUGACCUCUCUGCAUGUGGAGAUUCAUGAUUAGGUUGUAAUUAUUUAACUACGUAACUUGAUUAUAAAGUAUAGUCUCCACCAUGUAGCCUUUAAUUUUUUGUCUUCCCAAUCAAGGGCAACAAUUCCAUGUCUUAUAAACCCAUUCAUAACAAUUUAAACUUUAUUUUAGAUGAGAUUGUACGGAGUUGUUUAAAAUAAUUGGGGAUCAUGUGGGUUGACCUAGUUUUAAAUCAUGAUUAUUUAUAUAAACUUAGAAAUUUGUUUGAAGUUUUUUGGUUUUGUUCUUUUUCGUGUAAUUUGAAUGUCUGUCAUUUUUUUGUGAAAAUAUAUACACAUAUAAGUUUCCGUAUGAAUUAAACUAGUCGGUAAUACGAGCUCGUACGAACUUUAUGUAAUUUAUGAAGGUGGAAAAAAUCAAGCUACUAUUUGGUACACAAAAUUCUUGAGGACAAUAAUUGAUUUUUGGCGCAAAUUUCAAGUAUACACAUUGGAAAUAAAGAAAACUACACAUUAAAAUGUACAUAAACAAAUAGAAAAUUGAAGUCAGGAGAAUAUUAUCUGGCAAAGAUUGAAAUGGCCAUGUGCUUGUCUAACAAGUGGCGUCUCAAUCUUAAUCUCUUGCAGUCUUAAAUCCGACAGGCGACAGCACAAAGUUUUACAAUUGGUUUGGUAACAUAGAGGAGUUCACUAAUACGUGUAGAUAAUUAGGUUUUCAUGUACUGAUUAAUAAAGGAAGAUAAAUAAUACUAACAACUAGAUUAAGACCCGCGCCUUGCGCGGGAUGAACAUUAUAUAUAUAAAUUAAUUUAUAUAUUAUAUAUUUAUAACAUAUUAUGAAAUAAUAAAUAUAUAUUGAAUAAUUAAAAUGGCAUUAUGUACUACUUAUAUAAUUAAAUUGGUGUGAACAUAUAAAUAAAUUUUAUAAAUCGAAAAAAUAUUUUUUCUAUUUGAUAUAAUAUAUAAUUAAAUUUAAAUGAUAGUAACAUAUAUAUGGUAUAUUUUAAUAUUAAUAUUUAUUAGAUGAUGUUUUUUGCUCAUUUUUUUAUCAUUUGUAUCUAUUAUAGCAAAAAGUCUAAAUUAGUGAUAACAAAAUUUUCACUAUGGGAUUAAUGGUUUAAGUAAUUUAUAAUAUUUUUAAAAAUUAAGCUGUCAAUAUUUUUUCAAAUUUUUUUAUCAAAAAAAUGUUCAAAGUAAAUUUCAAAAUUAAGAUAUUUAAGUAUUUUUAUAUGGCAUAUAGUUAAAUUUAAAAUGAUACAUAUAUUUCUAUAUCUUUUAUUUUUGAUACUUAUUAAAUGAGACUUUCAACUUAUAUUAUUUUUUAAUUAUUUGUAUCAUGUCAUAACAAAAGUUUUAAAUCAUAGAUCACAAAAUUUGAAUGUGAAACUUUUAAAAGUUUUAGUAAUUUAUACUCGUUUUUAAAAAUUCAAAAUAUAAUAUAUAAAUAAUUUUUUUUAAUUUUUCUUAUAUGGUUACUGUGAUUGUUUAAUUUAUUUUAAUAGCUUAAAAUUAAACAAAUAUAAUUAUAAUACACACUUAUUUUUAUCAAAUCUUUAUUAUUCAAAAUCAUUAAUUGUCAUAUAUACUCUAGCCACAUUAGGCAAUUCCGUAAUUUUAUUUAAGGAAAUAAUAAAGGAUAUUAAUAAUGUAUUUAUUGUGGUUUAAUAAAAAGCUUAUUAUAUAUUUAGAUGGACCAACUUAUUUUUCUAAAAAUUCUAAGAAUCAUUCUAGUGAUGACAUGUGGCUACAAAAAAAUGUUGCAAUGCUUCUCAAAUAAUAUAUAGGGGAUUUUUUUCAAUUUAGCAAGAAAGUGAAACCGGUCGACUGUAACCAGCCCCCACCACCAAUGAACUAACCUCUGUAACACUUAUAAUUACUUUAGACCCCAUCGCUUAAACAACCUAAAGGAUAUGUAUCCAGGCAGUCUAGCGCUUGCUACCCAACUGAAUCAGAAACGUGUGUUGAAUAAUCAUGUCUCGAGUUUCGCCAAUAGUUUUUAGUUUCUUUGGGGUCUUAUCCAUCUUACACAAAUAUUCUGCAUAGCCUGCUUACAUACAUAAGGACAUCGACGACGGCGGCGCUUCCGAAGAUGAAGUCGAUUGUUCCGGUGACGUCGCAGUCGCGGUAGAACUGGCGGUUGGAGUGAGGGUAAAGAGUGUCUUGGAAACCGUCGAAGGAGCAUUGGUAGUAGACGGAGAAGUCGGAGCCUGAUCGGAACGCCACCGCUUGAUGUUUCACUGCUCCGGCGGUGUUUAUGAUUCCGAUGUCUUUCAUUAUGAAUCCUUUGCCUUGUAUAGCUGCAAACACGGAGCAGUUUUAAUAAUCGUUGUGACAAAAAUACAAAAAAAAAAGUAGCAAAAGAGGAUAGGCGCGUAAAAUAUGUUUUUGGUUCGGUUUGUUUGAUUUUUUUUUUGGUUUUCUAUUUUUUUUUUAAUUUAGAAAUACAUGAACUAUUUUAGGUUUUUACAAAAUUCAAUUCGACUUCGAUUCUAUAUUAAGAACCAGUUAAGACCUGCAAAUUUUAGAUCUAAUUUUGUUCCAAUUCGAUUCAGAUUUUUAAAAUUUCAUAUAAUUCAAACAAAAACUAUAAAAAGGUUCAAGUAAUUAAAAACUUUGAUAAAAUAUCAGAUAAUCUGAAUUGUUUUGAUAAUUUUCUGUUUGUAAAAAGAAAUUUCUAUAUAAUUCAAAUAAAAAUAUUUGGGUGUUUUGGUUCUCAGAUAAUUUUCUGUUUGUAAAAAUAUUUUAGAUAUAUAAUUAUUUAAAUCAAAUAUAAUUGAUAUUCAUUCAAUUCUCGUUUUGAUUUCCUAUUUCGAAUUUAGAAAAACAUAAACCGUUUCGGUCUGAUUUUGGUUAAGGUUUUUAAUUUAAUUCGGUUUUAUAUAAAAUGUUAGUCUAAAAAGGAGUUUUCAGGUCUAGGAGAGGACUUACCAAACGUGGCCGUUUCAUAAGUCGGAGUCCCGUCCACGAAGUUCUUACUGCCGGAGAUAAUAGUCUUCGUCUUCCCGUCGCCGUAGAUCAUAACAUUCCACUUACCCUUAUCCAUCACCACAUUCUCAACGUACGUUCCACCUUUCACGUAUAUCACAAACACCUUCAAGCUCUUCUUCGGCACUCUCGCCACCGCUUCAUUCACCGUCUUCACAUCCCCCGUUCCAUCACCCGCCACCGUCACAUCCGGCUUCAACCCCGCCGUCUGCAACAGCCUCCGCCUCGCCCACUCAGGCGUCUGCUGCUGGCUCACCAAAAGCCGUCUCCUCCGGUGUAUCGGAACUCCGAAGUCGCUCAACGCGGCGAGGAUCUUGGCCACGAUGGCGAGGCUGUUGCUCGUGAACUCGGUGGACCGACUCAUCGCGGACUUGAGGCUCUGAGUGAUGUUCGAGUUCGCGUACUCCGUCUUGUUCUGAGCCAGCUCGUCUAGCGAGUCGAAACACGUCUCGUGGUCCGUCACCGUCGCGCUCAGCCAAGUCUUGAGAUCGUCGACGGUCGAAGAGUUUAGAGUCUUCUUAUUGCUCCCGUCGUCGUCCAUGACCGAAACGGUGUCGUUUAGCCGGUCCAACGCGUCCUCGAUCAUCUCCCCGCAUACCCUUAACGCGGAUUUGAUCCUCACGUCCUCCGUCUCCUUGGCCAGCUUCUCCGGUAAAUCGGAUAUCCCGUCGAGCUCGUCGAUGAUGACUUUUAACGAGAGCUUGAAGAGGAUCGCUGGAUCCGUUGUGUUGGAAGCAGGAAGCUUCGAGAUGCUGUUGAAGCAAGACUCAGGGUAACGAGUCACGCUGCAGAUUGUUUUAAGUGAGGUGGAUGGUGUUAACUCGGGGGGUUGACUCAGUGCUGGCUCGGAGGAGUUCUUGUUGUGAACCACGGCGGCGACUACGGCGGCGAUUAUUACGGCGAGGAGGAUUACGCCGGAAAUGGAUAGUAGGAUUAGACGUGUUCUUGUCUUUUUCUUUAAUGCUAUAUCUUGAGCUUCGUCUACUUUUCCAUAUCCUUUGAAGGAUUGCACCGAAUCCAUAAUGCUAAAAAUGGGUUAAAGCAAAGCUCCUUUUAGUUUGGUUUCUGAGUUCUUACUAAAGACACUUUUGGGGUUUGUGUUAUGUUCUGUUGUUGU